UACGUAGGGUGCAAGCGUUAAUCGGAAUUACUGGGCGUAAAGCGUGCGCAGGCGGUUUUGUAAGUCUGUCGUGAAAUCCCCGGGCUCAACCUGGGAAUUGCGAUGGAGACUGCAAGGCUAGAAUCUGGCAGAGGGGGGUGAGAAUUCCACGUGUGAGCAGUGAAAUGCGUAGAGAUGUGGAGGAACACCGAUGGCGAAGGCAGCCCCCUGGGU
Molecule: ribosomal RNA, 213 nt
Filed under: uncultured bacterium
Lineage: Bacteria
Description: partial 16S ribosomal RNA
Rfam family: Bacterial small subunit ribosomal RNA
Source: RNAcentral